Long non-coding RNA from Zalophus californianus (California sea lion), 2377 nucleotides. RefSeq lists it as uncharacterized. NCBI's taxonomy places the organism in Eukaryota, Metazoa, Chordata, Mammalia, Carnivora, Otariidae. The transcript has 3 exons. The record is from RefSeq and is a predicted model, not a curated record.
AAUAUCAGUAUUUUUGUGGCAAUUCCCACAGAAUGGUACAAAGAGGGCCAGAUGACACCUGAACCCACAGUGGGUUGAGUUGCAGGAGAUAGACCCUGAGCUUAGGGGACCUGAAUCUUUUAUAAUGGGCAAUAAACAUGCCUACCCUUCACUCUGGAGAGAGACAUGAUCUCUAUCUUCCAAGGCUUAGAAACAUCCUUGAAAAGAUAGUCCAAAACAAAAGGCAGUCAGUGCAUUGCUCAACAAGAUGUGCAGAAACUCGAGCCCCAUGGAGAACUAUCUCAACAACAGAUUGCAGUCACUUAUAGCCAGUUCUUAACUGACGUAUCUUUGAAGCUGUGUGUCUACACUGGGAAUAUCCAGAGGAUCGAUGAGUAAUACAUUCAACCGGUAUAGGUCGACCAAUUGAUUCGAGAUUUUGACUCAGCAGUGAAAGUCAUUUGCUUGCCUCAUUCCUUCUGUAGCAGAAUUUUACUUCCCAAACAUCCAGGUCCUGUAUGCACAGUUGGACUCCUCAGAUACCGGCUGAACAAAGUCGAUUCCUUUGUAGCUUCUUUAGAAAGACAACCAUAUCCUGGCAAAUUGAAACCAACAGAUUGUCCCUUAUGUAUGUAUCUUGCAAACAUAAACAUAUCUAAAAGCACCUAAACAGAGAAUGAAACCGAGACAGAGAGGUCCUACAGAUCUGUGCAAUGCAAAGUGGGAUCUGCAGACCAGCAGAAGAACUAUCACCUGGGAGCCUCUGAGCGCAAUGCAGAAUCUCAGGCUGCACCUGGGAUCUGCAGACCAGCAGAAGAACUGUCACCUGGGAGCCUCUGAGCGCAAUGCAGAAUCUCAGGCUGCACCUGGGAUCUGCAGACCAGCAGAAGAACUGUCACCUGGGAGCCUCUGAGCGCAAUGCAGAAUCUCAGGCUGCACCUGGGAUCUGCAGACCAGCAGAAGAACUGUCACCUGGGAGCCUCUGAGCGCAAUGCAGAAUCUCAGGCUGCACCUGGGAUCUACAGACCAGCAGAAGAACUGUCACCUGGGAGCCUCUGAGCGCAAUGCAGAAUCUCAGGCUGCACCUGGGAUCUGCAGACCAGCAGAAGAACUGUCACCUGGGAGCCUCUGAGCGCAAUGCAGAAUCUCAGGCUGCACCUGGGAUCUGCAGACCAGCAGAAGAACUGUCACCUGGGAGCCUCUGAGCGCAAUGCAGAAUCUCAGGCUGCACCUGGGAUCUGCAGACCAGCAGAAGAACUGUCACCUGGGAGCCUCUGAGCGCAAUGCAGAAUCUCAGGCUGCACCUGGGAUCUGCAGACCAGCAGAAGAACUAUCACCUGGGAGCCUCUGAGCGCAAUGCAGAAUCUCAGGCUGCACUUGGCAUCUGCAGGAUUUGGAUCUGCAUUUUAACAAGAUCUGCAGGUGAUUGGUAUGCACCUUAGAGCUCGAAAAGAGGCUGCUAUAGAGAACCCUUGGUAAGAACAACAGGAAGAGGAGGUCUAAGACGCCAUUUGGUCUCUCCCCAUAAGUCUUAACUGAUGUUAUACCCUGCUAGGUAGCACUUCCCUCCACAUUCAGAAGAGGGGGCUCCUGUAUUUGUUGACUUGUGCUUCAUAGGAAUCCUUAAUAGAAGUGGAAUCAGUCAUUGUUCACAUAUUACUGCUCCUCAAUAUCUUCGGCCACCAGGCUUGCUUUAGCUAAUAGAUUCUAAAGGGAUGAGAUUAUGACCAUGUUAGAUCCAUUAACAUUUAUAUCUCCCACCGGCAGUAGACAUAGAUAGGCUUGCAAUUCAUUUAUUCCUCAAUGAUUUCACUGAGGAUCCAGGCAUUGAGUGAGGCCCUGAAGAUAAAAAGAUGAACAGAAGAUGGCCCUUGCCAAGCUUGAUGCAGAAGGCGGGUGUAAGAAAUAGAUCAUUACAGUCCAACAUGCGAGCAAAAUGACGGGAUUUUGAACUCCACAGUGAAAUUGCUGAUGAAGGUCAUCUUUCCCUUUCCUGCUUUAUAGAAAAGAAGACCCCAAGAAGAGGGGCAUAAAGGGACACCCAUGGAAGACCUUUGUGAGUCUGACUCACAAGACCCCUUCUCCUGUGUACAGCCUUUUUUUCUCAGGCAAGCACAACUGCUUCCUACACCCUUAUUAACCCUUAAUGCCAAGGAUCAAAAGUGAUGUCUUUUAAAUUUAUUUCGCCCUUAACUGAGAUCUAUAGCUUGCCUUGAGUUUAUUCUUCCUGCAAUUUCUCGACUUAGGUUUUUCUAAAUACUUCACAGCAUCUCUACUACAAUGAGAUCUGAAAACAAAGAAAUAAACCUUAUCGGUGAUUUCUGCCAAUAUCUGGCAAUACCGUGGAAGAGAUGUUUUGAUUAGGCAAUUUUCAUUACUAAAAGCACUAUAGCACAAU